RNAcentral lists this long non-coding RNA (20025 nucleotides) under Brassica rapa (field mustard). RNAcentral describes it as "long non-coding RNA (BRAP_LNC003747)". Lineage: Eukaryota; Viridiplantae; Streptophyta; Magnoliopsida; Brassicales; Brassicaceae. The record is from RNAcentral.
ACAACCCAAACCCUCAUUCUAAGAGAUGGGGUCUCACACACAAAACCUCUCUUUUCUUAUCCUCCUUCUCCUAGGCUUCCUUGCUGUCUCAUUCGCUUGCGAAUGUAGCCCUCCUAAACCAUCUCCGAGACCCCACAAACCGCCUAAACAUCCCGUCAAACCGCCUAAACCACCAGCAGCCAAACCACCAAAACCACCGGCAGUAAAACCUCCUAAACCCCCCACCAAACCUCCCACCCUUAAACCACACCCCCACCCUAAACCUCCCACCGUUAGACCACAUCCACACCCUAAGCCCCCUACCAAACCUCAUCCCAUCCCAAAACCGCCCACCGUUAAACCACCACCCUCCACACCCAAACCGCCCACAAAACCACCCACCGUUAAACCACCUCCAUCCACCCCUAAGCCGCCCACCAAACCACCCACCGUCAAACCACCACCCUCCACCCCAAAACCGCCCACCAAGCCACCCACCGUCAAACCACCUCCGUCCACCCCUAAACCACCUACCCACAAGCCACCAACAGUGUGCCCACCGCCAACACCAACACCAACCCCACCUGUUGUAACGCCACCAACACCACCAACACCAACUCCACCAGUCGUUACGCCACCAACACCAGCCCCACCUGUUGUAACGCCACCAACACCAACACCACCGGUCGUAACGCCACCGACACCAACCCCUCCUGUCGUAACACCUCCAACACCACCGGUCGUAACGCCACCGACACCAACUCCUCCUGUCGUAACACCACCAACACCACCGGUCGUAACGCCACCGACACCAACCCCUCCUGUCGUAACACCUCCAACACCACCGGUCGUAACGCCACCGACACCAACCCCUCCUGUCGUAACACCACCAACACCAACUCCACCUAAGCCAGAAACGUGCCCAAUCGACACGUUGAAGCUAGGCGCUUGUGUAGACGUUCUUGGAGGUUUAAUUCACAUCGGGCUUGGUGGAAGUAGCGCCAAGAAAGAGUGUUGUCCGGUUUUGGGAGGCUUAGUUGACUUAGACGCAGCUGUUUGUCUAUGUACCACCAUCAAAGCCAAACUUCUCAUCGUCGACCUUAUUAUCCCCAUUGCUCUUGAGCUUCUUAUCGACUGUGGAAAGACUCCGCCACCUGGCUUCAAAUGUCCCUCUUGAUGAAUGAAGUGUCUCUCUAUCGUGUUUUUCUUUCUUUCUUUCAAGAAUUUGUUAGUUUGAUAAUCUCUUGGGUGAGGUUAAUUUGCGUGUGUGAGACCUUUAAUCACUUGUUUUGUUGUACAAUAAAAGGCUAUGUUUGGGUUUUGUUGAUGUAAUUCUAAGAAGAAGAAAUAAAAAAUGUAAAACGGUAUAAUUAUCUUUCAACAAAAACAAGUUAAUAUUUCAUAUCUGUGUACGCUUAUUUUGUUUUUUUAUGUACAUAUAUACGUACGUAGUCACUUGUGGAGUAGCAGAAAUGUGGAUUUUAUAGCCAUGCAAAUUGCACUGACGCACAUGUGAUAUGCGCCCCCAUAGCGUGGCUACUGUGUACUGACCAAAUACAUGUGUAUAAAUAUAGUUACAUACAAGUAUAUAUAUGCUAACAAAUAUAUCAUACUUUCUCCAAAAAUUGAUAGCUAAGAUAGCUCUUAACAAAUUAUGUCUCAGUCACACAGAUGAUUACGACAUUUGAUUUGUGGAUUAAGAAUUCGAAGAAAGUAACUUUUUUAAAUUGUAGAGCUUGCUUAUUCUUCCGCGUCUAAUAUACUCAGAGAUAGUGAAAUAAAAAUCAUACAUAAUAAAGUCAAUAUAUUGCAAAUGUACAGUUGAUAAAUCUCAUAUAAUACAGAAAAUAACAGUAUAUAUCUAAUUGAAGAAUCAUUGCAAGAGAAAAAGUUGGAUAUCAUUAAUAAUUAUAGAACAUAUGGAAUCUCAUCCAAAGAAACAGACGAUAUCAAAGAACAAUAUAUUGCAAAUUAUUUUGGAAUUGAUUCUGGAAUGAAAGAAACAAGUUCUUAAAUAUGUUGGCGAAUAAGGUUUCAGUAUCUUUAACCGUAGGACCGCGAAAAUCCUGAUUGAAAAUCACGAAACAUAAGUCGAUAUUAACGGUAAGAUAAAGAUAGAAAACAUUUAAGAAAUCUUUUAGGAAAUAGACGAAUUCACAGAGUCGAGAUCUGAUAUCUUUCUUUAACUCAAUAAAUCGUCCGUAUUGUAUGACAGUUUGAAUGCGAUCUAUGAUCCGUCUAUGACGGUUCCCAAAUCCAACUCGCGGAUCAUCUCCUCUAGAUCCGUCCCGAUUAUAUGUUUGCUAGUUGACAUAGUUCAUGUUAAUGAACUGAAAAUCUGAAUGGGGUAGCAAUUUUUAGCCUAGGAAAUGAAGGAAUAUGAAUAAACCAUGGUUGUUCUAGUCAGCUAGCUAUAAUAAAAUAGUAUAUCUAAGCUAACUAUAAUAAAAAGGAAUAUAGUUAAUCUUAUUAGCCUAUAUUAUGGCUAGUCCAAUUAAAAACAAUUUGACUAUGAUUUUUAGUUUUACAUGAUCGAAAAUUAAACCGUUUAAUUCAAACCAUAGAAACUAGAUGUUGAUUGUUUAUAGUUUUUAAAAUGGUUUUUGGAUUUUUUUUUGAAAAACUACUUUAUUUGCCAAUCAAGAUUUUGCUAAAAAUGAUUUUCUAAAAUCUAGAGAAACUAGUUUUUCAAAUAACUACCUAAUUCUACACAAAAACCAAAAUCAGUGUUUUUUAAGAUUUCUGGCAGUUUCCUACGGAUGAUUUUUUUUAUCAUGCAUUUUUAUUUAUUAUUUUCUUUUAAUGGUUUUUUUCAUUUUUUUUUUGUAACUGGUCUUUCUUUUCAUAUUUGCCUCAUUCUCACUCUCAUAAGGUUUUCACCAUCACAUCGUCAAUACAUUUGCCUCAUUUCAUCUCGCCACUCAAAAAUAUUUGAUCAUACUUGUAAAUUAGAAGAAGUUCUCUUACUGCUAAACUAAAAGAAGUUCAAAAAUAUUUCAAAAGGAAAUUUUAUUUUAAAAGUCACUAUUUUAAUUAAUUGCUAUAGUAAUUAUUUAUACAAAAAUAAUCAUAGAAAUAUAUGUGUAAAAAUUAUUUUAGAAAAAAUAUCAAAGGUAUGAUAUUAAUAUUUUUUAUAAUGCUUAAUUACUUGUAUAAUAGCAUUUGAGAUCAAAUAUAAAAGGCAUUCAAGAUAAAAAAUAUAUAUAUAUAUAUAUAUAUAUUUAUAUGGAAUUUACGAUAGUUUUAUUUUGUAAUUAUAUUUUUUUUAAAAUAAUUUUUGUAAAUAAAUUUAUGUGUAUUUUAAUGACAGUGUUUUAUAUUUUAUUAUUUUCAGAAUAAAUAUUAUCUAUUCAUAAUAUUUUUUAUUUUAUUAAUUUUAAAAAUAAAAAUCAAAACCAAAAAUUAAAAACCAAAAUCUAAAACAACCAUUCAUGUUUUUCAAAAAAACCAAAAUUUACUGCAAAAUCAAAAACCAAAAAUCAAAAAAAAAAAUCAAAAACCAAAAUCUAAAAACUAAAAACCAAAAUCCAAAAACUAGAAUCUAAAAAUUAGAAAAACAAUCAUCACCUAAAUUAAGGGAUCAGAAGUUAGUGUUUUUUUAAUUACUUUUAAAGAAGUUAAGGGACCGGAAAUUAAGGUUUUACUAUUUUUAGAUAUGUUGCUGCUAUAUAGUACAAACCUUCCUCUGCAAAAUCUUGCAGAUUUCUUUGAUUCUAUAAUAAUUAGAUGUGCUGAAUAUGAUUCAUUAACAUUUUUUAUAUAGUACUAGUGGUUUGCAAGUGCUUUGCAUUUCCUUUUUUUAAUUGUUUGAAUAUUUGUUUAUAUAUCAAUGUGAUCUAUUUUAAUUUUUUUGUGGUACAUUUGUUCUCACAUUGUUUCAUUUUAGUUAUUGUAAUUCAUUAGCAUUGUAUUUAUUUUAUUAACGGAAGCACAACCUCAUCGUCUUGUUUGAUUGACCAUUUUUCUCAACAAGGAAGUUGAAAUGAGAAUAAUGUGUAUUUUCAAGUAUUUUAAAUUUUAUUUAUACUCUCUUUAAUUCUUCUUUAUGUAAUUUUAUAUUGAAUUGUAUUUUUUUUAGAAGUAUUUUACAUUUGAUUUAUACUCUCUUUCAUUCUUCUUUAUGUGAAAAUGAAAAUUUUGGAAUGAAAAUGAAAAUUUUGAAUGAUGGAUUGCUAAUUGUGUUUAAUAAGAAGUCAUAAGAAGUCGAAUUGUAAUUACAAUUUGUUUCUUAUUUUUCAAAGUUGUAAGAUAACAUCAUUUCAAUGAAGAGAUGUUUACGUUCUUGUUGAUACAAACUUGAAUCUUGUAAAUUUCCUAGUGAGAUUAAUUUAGUGAACUGUAAUUAUCUAUUGCUCUUUCUUUAAAGUCACUCUUUUGUAGUUUUCACUCUUUUGAUUUAACAGUUGAGCCCGAGGAGAGUCAUUGCCGUUACUGUAAAACUCUUCACGGCAAGAAGAAUAAUGCUUCGUAUUCAAGUAAUGAAUUGAAACAUAAAUAAGAAUAAAACAAACUUUAUGCUUUCAACAACUAUGCAUAUGCGAAAAGAUCUCUCUCUCGGCUUUGCAGAUUCCUACUGAAAAACACACUUCCAGGAUUACUCAAAUCACACAUUGCAAAAUCUCAAUUCAAAGUACCUUCAGAUAAAAUUCUAGUUUCAUCGCCAUUGUUAAUUAAACAUCAAACUAAACAUGAGAGAUUAAAAACAGAGAACUAACAAGAUAGAUGGGAGGAGAUAUAAUAAUAGCACCAAGCAGAGAUGAGACAACUCGGACAUAGUUUUGUGCUCAGGAAGAUUCAGCAGCAGGUUGAGUCACACCAUGCUUGAGCAACAGCUUGGUAAGCGAGUCAGGAGAGUGAACAUGGUACUUAACACUCCCCGACGGAGUCAAAAACACCUCAGCAAGCUCAAGCUUCUCAGAUGUCAAGCUCGUGCUGUCCAUAGUCUUGCUCAGAACCUUCAAGGCGAGCUCGACCGCCUCUUCUCUAGUUGCAUCCUCCUUGUAGUCUUGUUUCAGAAUAGACUGAGCCGCCUGGUUGUUCGCUCCCACAGCUGCAGCUUUCCACCCACCGUAGUUCCCACUCGGAUCACUCAUAUACAGCUGAAACCCAUGGUUCUUAUCCCACCCGGCAAAGAGAAAGGACACUCCAAAGGGACGAAGACCACCGAACUGGGUGUACCCUUGCUUGGUGUCGCAGAGAGACUGAACCAGCUGCUCAACAGGCAUAGGCUCCUGGUACAUGAAGGUGUAGCGCUGGGCUUGGACACGAGCCGUGUUGAUGAGGAUGUUUGCGUCGGACAUGAUGCCGGCGACGGCGCAGGCCACGUGGUCGUCGAUCUUGUACAUCUUCUCGGAGGAGGUGGAGGUUUGGAGAAGCUUGGAGGUGACUUUCUUCUCGCCGAUCAGAACGACGCCGUCUUUGGAUAAGAUACCGAUGGCGGAGCCGGCGUUGCCGAUGGCUUCCAUUGCGUACUCGACUUGGUAGAGACGCCCUUCUGGGGAGAAGAUUGUCGUGCGGCUAUCGUAUCUUCGAGACAUGUUUUUGACUUUUGAGAGAGAGCUUCGCCAAAUACAAGAAAAGGUUUAUUACAUUGAGAUCGAGAAAACGAAAUCAAAUCAAGAUUGUGAAAAUUUCACUAUUGGGUGGGUCUCUAAGAGAAGAGAAGCCAAGACGCCUAUGUAAGAUAAUUACAUCAACCAGAUUCGCAACCUAGCUCUAGGACUUAUCUAAUUCUAUAGAAAUUCGUACAAAACUACUACGAGAAACUAAUCGAGAAAAUAAAAACGGAAUGGAAUGGAUACAGUUUACCUGAAAGGACUUUGAUUUUGAUCUCUUUUUCGCUGAGAAUUUGCUCGAGACCAAAGAUGUGUGUGAACUUGUUGAGAGAAGACAGAAGAGAGAAGGAACCUAAAAACACUUUCUGUAUCGGGCCUUUAUUUUUUUCAAAACAUGCACCUAUGGGAUAUAGUGAAAGCCCAAAUUAUAAAACUAAGCCCAGUAUAAGAUCAAAUCAACUACCAACCGUUUCUGUUCUUGACAUCAUUUUUAUUCUUUUCUUUUUAUAUAACUCAACUUUCAUAUAUCGAGAGAACUUUAAAUAAUUUAGUACAUUAAAAAAAUUAAAACUAUUUAGGGAACGCAUGGUUUAGAGAUAAAUCUAUCUAUCUAUCUAUACUAAUAAAGGAAACUUUUCUUCUUUAUCAUGCUGUCACGUCAGUAUUUUUAUAGGGGCAAUUUGUGACACAUGUCCUUUCUUUUUUACGUGAACAGCGUGAGUUUUUUCUAAACUUUUUGGCCUACUGAUUUUUCUUUUGUUUUGUGGGCUCUUACUAGCUGGCCCAUUUUCUUUAGGGUUUCUAGCUCCUGCGAUCAGGAUUCGGCUCCUCCUCUGGCUCUUCGUCUCUUAGAAACUCAGAGGAGAGCCCUUGUAAGUUCUAACGUCGUCCGUUUCUUCCUUUAGUCUCAUCAUUUAUUGAUUACCCACUCAUCCCACUUUCUCUGAAUUAAACAUUAUCAUUAUCAUCCCGCCUGAGACUCUUCUUCACUAUAAAACGGUCCUAAUAUGCUUUUCUUGGAUGAGAGCGAGCUCUGUCUUCGUUUUUAUAGAUUCUUACAUAGAUUACGAGUCCUCUCUUGGAAUUCGAUUACGUUUUCUCCCCACGAAGACUAUGUCUUUGGCUUUAUUUCUAUCUAAGUCAUAUGGAGUUUGCAUCUCCGACGAGGUAACGCUUUUACUUUUCCGCCAUAGACCACCAUAUGUGCACCUUCGACGAGGUUACAAUUAUAUUUCAGUUAGCAGCUCACUAUUUGCUCAGCCAUUCAUCUUCUCUGCCUUUGUACAUUUGAAACUGAAAAGUGGAUAGAUUUUAAUUAUUUUAUUAGAUUCAAUAAAUUUAUAUUUGCGCUUUAUAUCAUACCUUUUAUGAUUAUUUGAAAACAAAUCAGCCGCACAGUUUUUUAAGUUGUUUUUACAAAUAUUUUUGCGAUUUUUAAUUUUAUUUAGUUAUUAAUUUUUUGUUGUGAUUUUCAAGGAAUUUCUUAUUGGUUUUCUUAAUUUGAGUUUUAUGACCAUUAAAUGGAGAAAAAUCCAUGAGAUACAUCACUUAAUAAAUGGAUUCCUCUACUUUUUUGUAUGUAUGAAACCUUUUAUUUUUUUCUAAAAAUUUAUUUAUUUUAAUUUAUAUUAUGUAUUUUACUAAUUUUAUUGUUUUAUGUUUUUAUAUUGUAUAUUUAUUUUCCUAACUGAUCGUCUAAAAUCUUUGUUUUGAUAAUGUAUAAUCAUUGAUUGUGGUUCCAUUGUUUUAUUUCUUAUUAACUUAUCAUAGCUUUAGCUUUUGAUUUAGAGGUUGUCUUUGUACAUUUGAAACUGAAAAGUGGAUAGAUUUUAAUUAUUUUAUUAGAUUCAAUAAAUUUAUAUUUGCGCUUUAUAUCAUACCUUUUAUGAUUAUUUGAAAACAAAUCAGCCGCACAGUUUUUUAAGUUGUUUUUACAAAUAUUUUUGCGAUUUUUAAUUUUAUUUAGUUAUUAAUUUUUUGUUGUGAUUUUCAAGGAAUUUAGUGAAAGCCCAAAUUAUAAAACUAAGCCCAAUAUAAGAUCAAAUCAACUACCAACCGUUUCUGUUCUUCACAUCAUUUUUAUUCUUUUCUUUUUAUAUAACUCAACUUUCAUAUAUCGAGAGAGCUUUAAAUAAUUUAGUACAUUAAAAAAUUAAAACUAUUUAGGGAACACAUGGUUUAGAGAUAAAUCUAUCUAUCUAUCUAUACUAAUAAAGAAAACUUUUCUUGCCACGUCAGUAUUUUCAUAUGGGCAAUUUGUGACACAUGUCCUUUCUUUUUUACGUGAACAGCGUGAGUUUUUUCUAAACUUUUUGGCCUACUGAUUUUUCUUUUGUUUUGUGGGCUCUUAGAGCAUCAUUAUCUUAGAGACCCAUUUCUUAUUUUUUUUUAGUACUUUUUUAUUGUAAAAGUGAAUUAAGAGACUGGAAGAAGAGACUCUAAAAUUUAAGUGCUCCAUUGCAAGUCUCUUAUUUAAAGGUUCUUAAAAAAAAGUUUUUGUUAAUUAAACACCAAAUUUUUGAUUUUUCUUAUUAAACUUAAACUUUUUCUUAAGUAAUACUAAGUUUCAUUUAUACAAGUUUCUAAGACAUGUGAAUACUAGUACUUACAAAAACAUACAAGUUUCUAAAGGAACAUAAAAGAACGUACCAAGUGGAGAAGACAAGCUCGAAGUCUCCUCACACAAGCAGCCCGCGACCACACUGCUCAGGUACCUUCCCCCCAAAAAUAAGGCAACUGAACUCCAAUGGCUCAAUUAGUGUCUCUUAUGCUUUCAAUGAUCCUGAUUGUGCGCUUGGUGGGAGACGUCUUGCUCAGCGGGUUAGGUAUGUUGCAGCUUUAACAGACUAAUGAGUUGUAUUAACAAGUGAAAAAGAAAGCAAAUGUUUGUUCAUUGUGAGAGUAGAUAACAUACCAAUAUUGGAAAGCAAAUGUUUGUUCAGGAGCAAUUCCCCUAUAAAAGAGAGAGCGGGACACAUCAUACAGCCAUUAUUGGAAAGGAAGCUAAGGGAAAAGAGUAUAAAUUGCAAUGCACAGAACACACAAGACCUUAAACCAAUGCAUAGUGAACAAAAAUGCAUACGCUGAGGCUUAUACCAACUCAAUUCACACAAUUCUAAUCACUUCAACAAUUCUCUCGAACUUAACUUUAUCUCAUUUUGACUCCCAUUUGAUGCAAAUACCAAUGCACAGAGAACAUACAUGACCUUGAAGCAAUGCUAUUGAACAAGUAGAAAAAGCAAGCAACCAAGAAAGGUUCAAAAAACCAUAUUCACCUCAGCUAUUUAAACAGUACCAGCUUGCUCAAAGAGCAUAGCCAAGGCUAACCGAGAUCAUCUUCUUCGUCGAGAGAUGCUUUUUCAUCGUCGUUCAAAUCAACCACCUCUAGAGCUCCAUUGUCAUUCUCUAAAGCCUCCAGCCUAGCUAUAGCAGCCUAGAAUCAACCAAACACAAAUGAAGUCUCAUUGCCAAGGAAAAAAAAAAAUCAAAAAGUGAUUUCGAAAAUCAGACAACACACCUGGGUUCGAUUGUCGGUGCUUGUAAGAGCUGCCGCCAUCUUCGUAGCAACCUUACGGGUACGGCUCGAGACUCUACGGUUCGCCAUGUCUCCAUACCACUUAGGACGAUUCAGUGUACCGGCGACGGUGGACCGAUGCGCUCACGUCUCCGCUUUCGUCCCCGUCUUGCUGAGCCCAAUCCAAAGUCUGGGCGACCGAGGAGACUUGGAUUCGAAACCUACGGAUUUCACAAGUCGGGAGAGAGAUAGAGAUGAGAGUGGGAAGAAGUUCUGGAGAAGGUGAAAAGGGAGGAAGAGGAAUCACAAGAGACGUCUCUUCUCGUCCCUGAUUAAGAGACGUCUUUAGGUUUAUUGAUAUUUUUCAUUUUUUUUUAAUCCUGAUAAAUGUAAGAGACCCUCUUAAAAGACCGGGAUAAUGGUGCUCUUACUACCUGGCCCAUCUUCUUUAGGGUUUCUAGCUCCUGCGAUCAGGAUUCGGCUCCUCCUCCUGGCUCUUCGUCUCUUAGAAACUCAGAGGAGAGCCUCUGUAAGCUCUAACGUCGUCUGUUUCUUCCUUUAGUCUCAUCAUUUAUUUAUUACCCACUCAUCCCACUUUUUCUGAAUUAAACAUCAUCAUUAUCAUCCCGCCUGAGACUCUUCUUCACUAUAAAACGGUCCCUUCUCUGCGAUGAAUAGUCAUAGUUAUACGGGAUCCCUAAUAUGCUUUUCUUGGAUGAGAGCGAGCUCUGUCUUCGUUGUUAUAGAUUCUUACAUAGAUUACGAGUCCUCUCUUGGAAUUCGAUUAUGUUUUCUCCCCACGAAGACUAUGUCUUUGGCUUUAUUUCUAUCUAAGUCAUAUGGAGUUUGCAUCUCCAACGAGGUAACGCUUUUACUUUUCCGCCAUAGACCACCAGGUUACAAUUAUAUUUCAGUUAGCAGCUCACUAUUUGCUCAGCCAUUCAUCUUCUCUGCCUUCAUUAUAAAUUUUAUUCAGUAUAUAUAUUCAUCCGUAGGGCGUCUUAGCCACAGCUCAUCAUUUUGCAGUCUACCUUUCUAACCAUUAAAUCAUUAGUUCUAGAUUUUUUUUUUGCAAUUCAGAGUCCUAGAUUUUCAUGUCCUGCAAAUUCCAAUUGUUUAUUAUACUCCUGUGAAAAAUGAGACUGUUGAUUGUUUUGAACAAAAGCUUCGCAAAUAAAGUUUCAAUCUUUAUCCUUUUUCUCUCCUUAGUACUAUCGAUAUGGCUUUUUCUCCAAAUUAGUAAAAUGAUGCUAAAUGGUCACGGUAGCGGUUGAUGCAUCUUUUUUUUUGUUUUAUUAAGGCUUUGUUUAAUUAGACUUCAUGAUGAUUUGUGUUUGGACUUGAGGAAAGAAUCAUUCACAUGUGCGUGACUGCCCAAAGUUAUGUUAUGUAUCUAAGCAUACAUAUAAUAUUUUUCCCUCAAAGCUUGGUUUGUUUCCGUCACAUCAUAAUCUUCCUGUCCCAUUUCUUCGUUGAACAACUCUUCUAUCUAAGUCAUAUGGAUCUCGCGUCUCUAUCUACUUUGAGAGUCAUAGAUUGAUAUAUAUAUUAUAUUAACUUUGUAUUCCAUCCUCUUGAAUGAAGUUACCUUAUACAGUGAUACUUGUCUUCUCUUCAUUUUUGGUCUCAGUUUCUUUUUCCGUGAAUCAACUUGAUAUAAAUUUUUCCUUUACACAUGUAGAUUGGUUUUCUGACUGGUGCUUGAAGAUAUAGCUCUGGUGUAUUGAAUUCUCUUUAUGCAAGAUUUACUCUCUUAAAAGGAUAGCAGGUAAUUAAUUAUUUAGGUUUCAAGUAUUCUUAGUUGUUAAAUCUUUUAACUGUUUUUUGUGUUGUAGCUUUAAAGGCGUUUUCGUUGCAUUUUUAAGAUGAAAGAUUUUUCAAUUUUCAGACAAAGGUCAUGCGGUUGGAAACUCGGUAGAGAGUUGCAAAGAUGAGUCUAAGUCUCAAAACUGUUUUGAGUAGAAGUGAGAAGAUGCAGAGCCAAGGUCCCGGAAAAUAGGAAGAAGAUAACAAUGUCUUAAAUCUUUUAACUGUUUUUUGUGUUGUAGCUUUAAAGGCGUUUUCGUUGCAUUUUUAAGAUGAAAGAUUUUUCAAUUUUCAGACAAAAGUCAUGCGGUUGGAAACUCGGUAGAGCCAAGGUCCCGGAAAAUAGGAAGAAGAUAACAAUGUCUGUGAGCUGUUCUAUGAUACAAGAACCAGUGAGGACUUGGCAAAAUAAAAUGAUGGAAACCAUUCUUGUGGAGUUCUGAUUGAGACUGGAAAGAAGCUACGAUUUUAUAACAUCAAUGCUAAUAGCUGUUCUCCGGAGAUAGUUUUGUGUCGUUUUAUAUGGACAAGCAUGUUAUAAGGAGAACACUUAUCAUGUUGUGAAAGGACAUGUGUCGAUGAAGAUGUGACAAUUCAGGAGAAGUUCAAUAUUCGUUGAGAAAGAUUCUGUGUAUUAUGCCUUUUUUGGGAUUUGUAAUAUAAAGCAAACAUAUUCUUUGAUUAUUUUAUUUCAUUUAAUUAUGUAAUCUGUAUAUGUUUAACAAAGUUUUUGAUGUUACUAUGUAAUAAAAACUGAGAAGGGAACGUUUGAUGAGAUAUGAGUUAUAGGCUUUCAUUCAAUACAAAUCCAACACAAAUGUUGCAUGAUAGAUUCACUAUCGAUUAAAAGAAAUGCAAAUUUCAGUGAACAUGUAUAUCGGUUUGGUUCAUCUUGAUUUCUAGAUUAUUAGUGGUUACAUCUUAUAUAUUAAAACAGAAGUCACAACCUUGAUUCAUGUGUGAUUUUUUUAAAAAAUGGACCUAAUGAACCUAUUCAUAGAAAUUCAUACUAUAUUUUAAUUCAGACUAAUAAUAAAUAUAAUUUUUAAAAUAUUUUAAUCAUAGUAUCCUUUGAUAUCUUUUCAUUUUAAAUAAAAAUAUAUUUAAUUUAAAAUUCUAACAAAUCUGUUUAAAAAGAUUUCUACUAGAUCUUCAUUUUUGAAAUUAUAUUUAAAUAUUUUCACUAAUUUCGAAAUUAGUUUAAAAUAUUAUUAUACAUUAAUAUAUUCAGUUAUAUAAAAUGAAAAAUAAAAAAAUCUAUAAUAUUUUAGUUAUUAUAUAAUCAUAAUCAAUCAUAUUAUAUUAAAAUUAUUAUAUUGAGCUAAAUAUAAUAAAAUUGUAUUAAAUUAUUAAAUUUAUAUAUUUAUAUAUUUUAUUUUCGUAAUUAUAAAAUAUUUAUGUUCAAAAAUAAAAUCUAAUAUGUUGGUAAGAUGGGUUAACAUUAUCAAACUAUAUAAUACAUGUAUAAAAAUUAACAUGUAUUUCUUUAAAGUUAAUAAUAUAAAAUCUUUGUAACUACUUUAAUCAUAAUAUAUUUUCAUUUUAAAUAUAAUAUAUAUUUAUAUAUUAUAUUUUAAAAAUUCUAAUAAAUCUGUGUAAUAUUUAAACAAUAACUUAAUGUAUUUUAAGUUAUCGUUUAGAAAUGAAAAUAAAUAAAUUAUAUCCUAUUUUAUCUACUUUUAUAGUCAUGAUCAUGUUAAAAUAUAAUUAUUAUACUAAAUAAAUAUGAUAAAAUUAUAUUCAAUUGAUAAAUUUAUAAAUUUUAUUUUCAUAAAUAUAAACUAUUUAUUUAAAAUAUAAUAUGAUGAUAGAACGACUUAAAAUUAACAAACUAUAUAAUACAUGUCUAAAAAUUAACAUAUCUUAUACUUUUAUAUAUACAAUAAUAAAUUAUCUAAAAUGAAUAAGCAUAAAAAUAUUGAUAAAAAGAAAUCCAGUUUUGAAAUACGGGUCAGAAUUUAGCAUAAAAUAAAUACAAAAUAUUUUUUAAAUAUAUUUUCUCAUGAAUAUAUUAAUUUGCUUAAUAACUAAAUGCAAAUACAAUAAGAUAAAUAUAUAAUAAGAAGUGGCAAAUACAUAAGGUUUAAACAAUUAAUUAAUUAUAACAUGUAAAUUAUAAAAUUAUUGUAUUUGAAAUAGUUAUAUAAAUAUUUAAGUAUAUGAUUAACAUUAAAAAUAUAUACCACUUAUGUUCUAAAACAAUAAUUUAUGUAUAGAAAAGUGAAAACAAACACCCGUGCGGUUGCACGGGUCAAAAAUCUAGUUAUAUUUAAGUUUCUUUCGUUUAGUUGCGUUACCGUUUGGCUCAUAUUAAUUUUUUGAUUAAAUUAUUUGAUAUAAAGUGAUAUGUAACUAAACUAAGAAAAAAACUUCCAACAAAUAAUUUGUUACUAUUAAACAGUUUGACUCCCACAAGAAAGCUUUCUUGACAGAUUACUGAAGUCCACUAAAGAUGAGAUUUUACAUCUAAGUUUUAAACUUUUUUUUUAAUUUUCUAAGUAGCAAGAAGUUCUACAUAUGUAAUGAUUAGUAGAGAUUGGUUUAUCACAAUGCAUGUGGAUUUUGUUGCCCAUCAAAUGGAUUGUAACUCCUACCUUAUUAUUUUAAUAUUUCACAUGCUACAUUGGACAUGCAGCUUUCAACAUCUUGAACCAAACUCUUUAACAGAAAAUUAAGGAACAAUACAACUCGCAUUCAACAUCUUGAAUCACACUUGUUCACAGAAAAUUAAAGUAACAGUACAACUCUACUAAAUUUAAAGGUACACAUCUUCACCAAGAUUUUCUUAAAAUUGAACAUACACUCACAUGUGAGUAAACCCUAGAUUCAUUUAUGUUCUUAUUUCCUCUAUAUAUACACAAGAGUUGUAACAAAUCUAAACACAUUCUAUUAUUUAUUUCUCUACUACAAUAUGGAAACAUUUAGUGUUGAGGACAAGAGGCAAUGUUGGGAGAAGUUGCAGCACUUUAAUAAUAGAAAACCAAAAUUAUGGAGAGAAGACAAGAAUGAAAAUUUGGUGGCUAACAUAAAGAAAGGCCAUGGAGAUGUGACUCUGGUAUACACCGGAGAUAAUCCUGAUGUAACAUUCACUCUAGGAAAUUGCAAAAUGUUGUCCGGAGCUACAUUUUGUGAGAGAGAACAAACAAAAUUUGAGCAAAAUGAAAAAAUUAUUCUUCUAUGAAAAGACUCUUUAUAAUUCUACUGAUACAAAAUCAAGUGUUUCUUCUUCGAAAAACAGGGACGGACCAAGAAAAAAAGGUAACUAAUGUUGUUGGGCAAGAGACUCAUGUUUGUUGGCCAAGAACUUUGCCUAUCCUCGUUUGAAAAAAUCUUAUAUGUAGUAUUGUAUUAAUUAAAUUUGCCUUUUGUAGUAGAUAUUGUAUUGUAUUAAAUUUGCUUAUGUUAGUGGAGAUUGUAUAAAUUUCGUAAAGUUUGCUGGCUGCUUGCAAUUCUAGUAACUUUAAAAGUAUUGUAUAAAGUUGUAAUAUUUUAGUAAGUUUGCUAUAAUUCUACAUUCAAUCUAACUAAGUUCAUAGUAUUGUACACUCAACCAAACUCAAAGCACAAAACUUUAUCCCUCGAGGUUCUAGUAUUUUAGUGAUUAAGAAAUACAUCUUGGAUUUAGAAAUUUUUGAUAAAUUCAUUUAUUUUAAAAUCAAACAAGUAAAUUUCAGAAUCAAAGAUACAUAUUUCAAAAUCAAAAUAAGUUGAUUAUUAUAAAUCGGUCAAAUGGAUAUACAAUAAGUUCAAAUUUGUAACAAAAUAAAAAUAUAAAAAAAUGCAAAAUGUACUUUUUAUUAUGCUUUUAGUUUGGAUUUUGAAGUGUUUGCACUUAUGUAAUUUUUCUUAAUAUGUAAUAGAGAUUAUAUAAAAAUUAUGAUGGACACAUAUGAAAGUGGAAAAUACUAGUUAGGAAAUGGUACAAUGUAUAUAAAUUAUUCAAAAUCUUCAUUAUGUUUGUGUAGUGUUUAAAUUUUUUGGAGCUCCCACGUGUUUGAUUGAGAGUAGCUAUGAUUCUUCUCUCCACUUUGAAUUUUCUGAAUGGGCCAUUGCUAUCACACACAGCUGCAACAACACAAUCUAAGAGUAGAUUUAUCAAAGUUUUAUUUUCUUGAGGACUCCAUUGAACACAUGAACUUUUUACGUGUUCUUGUGGUUUUUGUUGUGAUUCUUCCAUGCUUUUAGUUUGGAGUUGUACGUGUUUGUACUUGUGUAUUUUUUUCUUAAUAUGUAAUAGAGAUCCUCCUAUACAUUAAAAGAGAAGUCACUUUAGUGAUUUUUGCUGACAUGACAUUAAUAUAGAAUUUCUCAGAAAAAUUGUUAUAAUUCUAUUGGUCGAUUUUUUUGAAUUUUAUUUUUCAUUUAUUUUAAUAAAUCAUUUAUGUAGACAAGCCCAAAACUAUUGUCGAUUUCGUUAAGCCCAUAUAUAGCUAGGGGAUAAUAAUUAUCUAUUUAGUUUAGCCUUGGGCAAGAUUAAGAACUAAUACAAAUAUUAAAAACUUUCCUUAUUAUUCAAACAGUAAACUUGCGCAUGUUGAUAUCAUAUUAAUUACAUUUGGUUAGAAAAUAUUUUAAUAUUUCUAAUUAGUAGGGGUGAGCGUUCGGGUACCCGUUCGGGUUCGGAUCGGGUAUUUUGAAUUUUCGAGUAUUUUGGUAUAGAUGUGUAGAACCCGUUCGGGUAUUUCUGUACUACGGGUCGGGUUCGGGUAUUUUUAGUUCGGAUUCGUUUAUUACAGAUCGGGUUCGGAUAUUUAGAUUUCGAAAAAAAAAAAUUAAAAUUUUCAUUUCUCAAGUUUCUUAUAUUUAAAAAUAUAACUUUCAGUUAACUAAUUUUUUUAUUUUUAAUAGAUUGAAUGGUUAAUAGAUUUGGACAUAAAAAUUUAAAACUAAAAAGGCAAUAAUUUAGUUAUUUUUUAAAAAAAAUUGGAUAUAACUUUUUGUUAAUUUUUUAAAUAAAAAACUUGACAUGCAUUUUCGGAUCGGAUUCGGGUGCCACUUCGGAUAUCGGGUAAAGUGCCCACUCCUACUAAUUAGGUUGUUUGUUUUUAAUAACUUACCUUUCUAAUAUGGAUUACUUGCGCAAGUUAAAAUCAUUAAAUAUGCAAAUCACUUAUUCACAAUAUGGAUUACUUGCGCAAGUUGAAAUCAUUAAAUAUUAUCGAUUUAGUUUACUUUUGGGCAAGAUUUAGAAUUAAGACAAAUAUUAAAAACUUUCCUUAUUAUUCAAACGGUAAACUUGCGCAUGUUGAUAUCAUAUUUAUUACAUUGCUUAUAAAAUAUUUUAAUGUUUCUAAUUAGGUUGUUUGUUUUUAAUAACUUACCUUUCUAAUAUGUAUUACUUGCGCAAGUUAAAAUCAUAUCAUAUGCAAAUCAUUUUUUGACAAUACACAUUUAAUAUCUUUCUUUAAACGAUUUCAUUAUUUAUUUUGCAAAAUAUUGUGCGUCAUUAAUAUGAGAAAUAAAUCGACUGUAUAUAUAUAGGAGACACCCAAGAUCUUAAAAUACAAACAUUCUCUUUUCAUUCUUUAAAGUAUUAUUCACAAAUCUUCCUCUCAUACUAUUAAGGUAUUACGAUGAUGCUGCUUGUGUGCUAAGAAAAAUGUGUUUAGACGCAAAGGCUCCUCAUCUUUCAUCGACUCUGCCACCUACUUUGCCUUGGAAGUUCAAUAAACAUGUACAGCCUAAUAAAGGACUAACCCGCCAAGGCAAUGGGAACUCAGAAGAGCUACGUUGUGUCAUUGCUGUUAUUCGAUAGUAUGUUUUCUUAGCAUAUAAAUCACCUUUAUCUCCUCUAUACUUCUAUCUGUUAAAAUUUUGUUAUUACAUGAUAGUGGCGAUCGAACUCCAAAACAGAAGGUGAAACUAAAUGUUACAGAGGAGAAACUGUUAAACCUGAUGCUGAAGUACAAUGGUGGAAAGCCAAGAGCUGAGGUGCGAGAGGCUCCAGCUUUUCUGUCAUCCAUCUUUUAUCAGAGCCUUGAUUCAUUUUAUAUUUUUUUUUUCUUUUUGUAGACAAAACUAAAAAGUGCAGUCCAGUUGCAAGACCUAUUAGAUGCAACAAGAAUGUUAGUUCCCCGUACAAGGUAGAACCAUGAACUCAACUCUUUGUGUCUUGUCUCCAAAAAGCAUGUCUGAUCUAUCUCUUCCAUGUGUUGAAUACUGGUAACGACAAUAUGGUCUUCCUUUUUUUAUAUGUAGACUAGGUCGUGAGAGUGAUAGUGAUCCAGAAGACCUUGAACAUGCUGAGAAGCUUCGCCAAGUUAAAGCAGUUAUUGAAGAGGUUCUUUAGUACUUUCUCUUUUUUUGUUGAAUAUAGUCCGGGGAAAGUAUUACAUAGUAUCAUUUAGUAAUACUAUCUUAUAUCAUUUUUUUUUGUUGAAUAUACUAUCUGAUAAGUAAGCUAGCAUUAUGCAUUUUUUAUUUAAUUCAUGAGGUCAUUUUCAAAGCAGUCAAAAAAUCUAGAAAAUUAAUAAUCGAACCAGCUACCUUUUUUUAUUAGACCGGAUAUUAGUUCCACCAAUAAUCGUGGUCAACUUACCAACGUGGUGCAUAUAUGUCAAAUUGACAAAUCUACGUUUAAGUAACCCAACCUGUAAGGGAUUUAGAUUUUUUUUGUGAAUCUCGUGGACUGAUCUAUCGCAGAUUGGGGUUCAUAGGUGAAGUUUCAAGAAAUUGUUAUAAUUUGAUUGGUCGAUUGUUCUUAAUUUUUAUUUAUUUAAUUUAGAUUUAAAAUUUUAAGAUAAGUCUAAAAUCAUUUAACAUCACUUGUCAUAUAAUCUAACGAAUAUUACAAAUAACAAUUUAUGGAAACUAAUUUUCGAAAUUAUGGAAAGAUUAUUAAUGUUUUGUUUAUUACUUUUAAUAUUUAUAAACUAUAAAAUACAAUGAACGGAAUUUUAUAGAAGAUAAUUAUAAUAGUUUUAUACUCAACUUGAUGAAUUGUGUUCGAAUAUAUUUAUAUAAUAACUAUUUUAAGUAUUACAAAAUCCAAAAAUAUUUAUUAAUAUUAUUUUUAAAUUAUUUAUCGUAGUUUAAAGAAUAAAUUUAUCAUAAUUUUAAAAUAAUUUAUAAAAUGCUUACAAAAUGCAAGGCAAAGUUGCACUUUCAAGAGUUAAGUCGAGAUCUUGAUUAAAAAUCCUAAUAACUGGUAAAGAAGGGAAGCCGCAGACAAAAAUAUUGAAUGUUGUCUACAAAGAAGUUUUUCAGAAUAUUUCGUAGUCACAGUACGUAAUUUUAAUCUACUUUUUUUUUCAAAUACAAAUUUUAAAAUAAAUAAACUGUUGCGAUUAUUUAUUUUUUAUAUUUGCUAGAUGGGUUGUGAUGAGUUAGGAGACCGAUGACGGUACGGACCGAGAAAGAACACAGGGUGCGGACCGGUCAUGUUUUUAUGCCCGCACAGGAUGCGGACCGGUUACCUAGUUAUAUAUAAAUUAUGAUAUACACAUACAAUAGAAAGUGGAAUAGUUAGGAAAUUGUACAUUGUAUAUAAAUUAUUCAAAACUUCAUUCUGUUUGUGUAGUGGUUAAAUGUUUUGGAGCUCCUAUUUGUUUGAUUGAGAGUAGCUAUGAUUCUUUUCUCCACUGUAAAUUUGCUGAAUAGGCCAUUGCUAUCACGCACAGCUGCAACAACACAAUCUAAUAGUAGAGCUAUCAAAGUUUUAUUUUCUUGAGGACUCCAUUGAACAUAUGCCUAUUCCACGUUCGUGUGGUUUUUGUUGUGAUUUUUUUCUUGUUUUUAGUUUGGAGUUAUACGUGUUUGUCCUUGUGUAAUUUUUCUUAAUAUGUAGUAGAGAUUAUAUACAAAUUAUGAUGGACACAUACAAUAGAUAGUGAAAAAUAUUAGUUAGAGAAUUGUACAAAUUGGAUAAUCGGAAAAUUUAAAAAUUUAAAAAUAGAAAACUUUCAAAGGGAUCAAGCAAAAAUGUAUAAUGUACAUAGUGGUGGUUUUACGUCAAAUAUGUUUAUGUUCAAUUUUCUUUUUUUUUAUGUGUUUCCUUUUUGCAUGUAUACAUCUUUUAGUUCAUGUAUACAAGCAUCUCAUAUCUUUGUUAAAUAAAUAGAGGAACAUGUUCAAUACGUAUGACCUGGAGCAAAAAGGAUACUGGGAAAAUCAAUAAUACAAAGCUAUCAAAAUAUAAGAUUUAACUCAAUAUUUUCUCCUUUGUAUUUUUAACUUAAAAACACUAAUAAAUCCACUCAAUCUAAUUUUAAAUCAAACCUUAAGCAAAUCAUUAUUAUUGAAUAACACAUGAUUUUAAAAUCUUUUUUUUAAAUCAUAAAACCAAUAACAAGAAUUUGAAUAUAUAUUUAAAAAUCUAAGAACCAAUACUAAUGAACUGAAUAUGGAUUUUGAAAUUAUAUAACCAAUAAUACUAUAUUUUAUUUGUAUUUUAAAAUCCAUCUAAAUAUACCAACCAAUAACACCCUCUGACAUUCUCUGUAACAUCCCCCGGCGCAGCCCAUCUGCAAAAUUCCAAAAAGAAGAGAUUCUAGGGUUUUCUUCUCUCACUCGCUAUAAAAAAAGGUGCCCUUUACACUAGAAACACAUAACAAAUACAAAGUGAAGCUCUGCACAAGCCAAGACCCACUGCCAUCACCUCCUCCCAUUACAAGAAAACAUGCGAGAGGAAAUUGUUUUGGCAGGACAAUCUCGUCGGAAAAGAAAAUCCUUGGAUAGUUUCUCGGUAACACCGACGGAUUCCAACCGACCGUUUCCAACGAAUAAAGCUGUGGGAAAUCAUGGUCGAGAACUUGUCGGGAUUUAAUACCAAAUUAAAACCUUGGUUUAAUGUCUUAUAGGUAUCCCCGAACUGAUGAUGGCUCUACAAUCAAAGCAAGUUCUUUACGCCAAGAACUUAUCGCAUACUUCAAAAUAGAAAGUAGAACCAAGUCGAAAUUGCAAGGGGUGGUUUAAGCCAAAUAGUCAUGGCAAACCUAAAAUUGAAAGUAAACCUAUGUCUUUUCUAAACCCAACACACUGAUCUCAAACAUCUCAAUAGCUAGUAUCAUCAACCCGGUAGCAAAAUACACUUAAAAAUGUUUCUUAGUCAGUAGUUAGUACGUACGCUUAGUAUAUGAGAGAAAUAAAUCUGUCUCAUAUCUCCAUAUUAUACAGUGAUUUGUACUCUGAUCCGCUAGGAAGAAUGAAAUGAGAGGACAACUCACACUCUUU